UUAAGUUAUUAAGGGCGCACGGUGGAUGCCUUGGCACUAGAAGCCGAUGAAGGACGUUACUAACGACGAUAUGCUUUGGGUAGCUGUAAGUAAGCGUUGAUCCAGAGAUUUCCGAAUGGGGGAACCCAGCAUGAGUUAUGUCAUGUUAUCGACAUGUGAAUUUAUAGCAUGUCAGAAGGCAGACCCGGAGAACUGAAACAUCUUAGUACCCGGAGGAAGAGAAAGAAAAAUCGAUUCCCUGAGUAGCGGCGAGCGAAACGGGAAGAGCCCAAACCAACAAGCUUGCUUGUUGGGGUUGUAGGACACUCUAUACGGAGUUACAAAAGAACAUGUUAGACGAAUCAUCUGGAAAGAUGAAUCAAAGAAGGUAAUAAUCCUGUAGUCGAAAACAUAUUCUCUCUUGAGUGGAUCCUGAGUACGACGGAGCACGUGAAAUUCCGUCGGAAUCUGGGAGGACCAUCUCCUAAGGCUAAAUACUCUCUAGUGACCGAUAGUGAACCAGUACCGUGAGGGAAAGGUGAAAAGUACCCCGGAAGGGGAGUGAAAGAGAACUUGAAACCGUGUGCUUACAAGUAGUCAGAGCCCGUUAAUGGGUGAUGGCGUGCCUUUUGUAGAAUGAACCGGCGAGUUACGAUCUGAUGCAAGGUUAAGCAGCAAAUGUGGAGCCGCAGCGAAAGCGAGUCUGAAUAGGGCGUUGAGUAUUUGGUCGUAGACCCGAAACCAGGUGAUCUACCCUUGGUCAGGUUGAAGUUCAGGUAACACUGAAUGGAGGACCGAACCGACUUACGUUGAAAAGUGAGCGGAUGAACUGAGGGUAGCGGAGAAAUUCCAAUCGAACUUGGAGAUAGCUGGUUCUCUCCGAAAUAGCUUUAGGGCUAGCCUCAAGUGAUGAUUAUUGGAGGUAGAGCACUGUUUGGACGAGGGGCCCCUCUCGGGUUACCGAAUUCAGACAAACUCCGAAUGCCAAUUAAUUUAACUUGGGAGUCAGAACAUGGGUGAUAAGGUCCGUGUUCGAAAGGGAAACAGCCCAGACCACCAGCUAAGGUCCCAAAAUAUAUGUUAAGUGGAAAAGGAUGUGGCGUUGCCCAGACAACUAGGAUGUUGGCUUAGAAGCAGCCAUCAUUUAAAGAGUGCGUAAUAGCUCACUAGUCGAGUGACACUGCGCCGAAAAUGUACCGGGGCUAAACAUAUUACCGAAGCUGUGGAUUGUCCUUUGGACAAUGGUAGGAGAGCGUUCUAAGGGCGUCGAAGCAUGAUCGCAAGGACAUGUGGAGCGCUUAGAAGUGAGAAUGCCGGUGUGAGUAGCGAAAGACGGGUGAGAAUCCCGUCCACCGAUUGACUAAGGUUUCCAGAGGAAGGCUCGUCCGCUCUGGGUUAGUCGGGUCCUAAGCUGAGGCCGACAGGCGUAGGCGAUGGAUAACAGGUUGAUAUUCCUGUACCACCUAGUAUCGUUUUAAUCGAUGGGGGGACGCAGUAGGAUAGGCGAAGCGUGCUGUUGGAGUGCACGUCCAAGCAGUAAGGCUGAGUGUUAGGCAAUCCGGCACUCAUAAGCUGAGCUGUGAUGGGGAGAGGAAAUUGUUUCCUCGAGUCGUUGAUUUCACACUGCCGAGAAAGCUCUAGAUAGAUAACAGGUGCCGUACCGCAAACCGACACAGGUAGUCAAGAUGAGAAUUCUAAGGUGAGCGAGCGAACUCUCGUUAAGGAACUCGGCAAAAUGACCCCGUAACUUCGGGAGAAGGGGUGCUCUUUAGGGUUUCAGCGCCAGAAGAGCCGCAGUGAAUAGGCCCAAGCGACUGUUUAUCAAAAACACAGGUCUCUGCUAAACCGUAAGGUGAUGUAUAGGGGCUGACGCCUGCCCGGUGCUGGAAGGUUAAGAGGAGUGGUUAGCUUCUGCGAAGCUACGAAUCGAAGCCCAGUAAACGGCGGCCGUAACUAUAACGGUCCUAAGGUAGCGAAAUUCCUUGUCGGGUAAGUUCCGACCCGCACGAAAGGCGUAACGAUUUGGGCACUGUCUCAACGAGAGACUCGGUGAAAUCAUAGUACCUGUGAAGAUGCAGGUUACCCGCGACAGGACGGAAAGACCCCGUGGAGCUUUACUGUAGCCUGAUAUUGAAAUUCGGCACAGCUUGUACAGGAUAGGUAG
This 2143-nucleotide ribosomal RNA is filed under the name Staphylococcus epidermidis. Its description in RNAcentral is "bacterial LSU rRNA". It matches the Rfam family "Bacterial large subunit ribosomal RNA", at positions 3 to 2150 of the family's 2925-position model. Lineage: Bacteria; Bacillati; Bacillota; Bacilli; Caryophanales; Staphylococcaceae. The record is from RNAcentral.